This is a ribosomal RNA of Otolemur garnettii (small-eared galago), 120 nucleotides long. NCBI's taxonomy places the organism in Eukaryota, Metazoa, Chordata, Mammalia, Primates, Galagidae. The record is from Ensembl.
GCUUAUGGCCAUACCACUCUGAAUGUUCUCAAUGUUGUCUGAUCUUGGAAGCUAAGCAAGACUUGGGCCUGGUUAGUAGUAAGAUGAGAGAUCCCCUGGGAAUAUUGGGUGCUGUAGGCU